Molecule: non-coding RNA, 111 nt
Filed under: Virgibacillus sp. SK37
Lineage: Bacteria; Bacillati; Bacillota; Bacilli; Caryophanales; Bacillaceae
Also listed under: 1 other name
Description: SAM riboswitch aptamer (S box leader)
Rfam family: SAM riboswitch aptamer (S box leader)
About the family: The SAM riboswitch is found upstream of a number of genes which code for proteins involved in methionine or cysteine biosynthesis in Gram-positive bacteria. The SAM riboswitch acts at the level of transcription termination control. The predicted structure consists of a complex stem-loop region followed by a single stem loop terminator region.
Source: Rfam by way of RNAcentral
CUCUUAUCUAGAGCGGUGGAGGGACUGGCCCUAAGAAACCGCGGCAACCUUCAAACACUUCUGUUUGAAAGGUGCUAAUUCCAGCAAAGUGAAAGCUUUGGAAGAUGAGAG